UAACAGGAAGAAGCUUGCUUCUUUGCUGUCCCCUGGCGGACGGGUGAGUAAUGUCUGGGAAACUGCCUGAUGGAGGGGGAUAACUACUGGAAACGGUAGCUAAUACCGCAUAACGUCGCAAGACCAAAGAGGGGGACCUUCGGGCCUCUUGCCAUCGGAUGUGCCCAGAUGGGAUUAGCUAGUAGGUGGGGUAACGGCUCACCUAGGCGACGAUCCCUAGCUGGUCUGAGAGGAUGACCAGCCACACUGGAACUGAGACACGGUCCAGACUCCUACGGGAGGCAGCAGUGGG
Molecule: unclassified non-coding RNA, 292 nt
Filed under: uncultured bacterium
Lineage: Bacteria
Description: partial contains 16S ribosomal RNA and 16S-23S ribosomal RNA intergenic spacer region
Rfam family: Bacterial small subunit ribosomal RNA
Source: RNAcentral